Musa acuminata AAA Group (dessert banana) is the source of this 850-nucleotide long non-coding RNA. RefSeq lists it as uncharacterized. The record is from RefSeq and is a predicted model, not a curated record. Lineage: Eukaryota; Viridiplantae; Streptophyta; Magnoliopsida; Zingiberales; Musaceae. The transcript is spliced from 2 exons.
UUUCGUAGGGCUCUAUCUCGACGGGACCGCCCUCGUCGCCUCACUCGCGCUCCGAUUACGCUGUUGUUUCAAUCCCUACCCAUCUUCCCCAUUCGAUCUUUCUCUUUACUUGUUGUUGAUGUAUCUAUUAGUUGAUCGAUUGCUGCUUUCCGUGUUGUUACUUGAAUCUGAAGUUCUAUUGUCUGUAGCCAUAUGCAACAUGGAUCAUAACAGUAGAACAUUUGCCCCUAUUUGAUGGCCUUUGGUUUGGUUACAUGUUCCAAGGGCUUGUUUUUGCUGAAAAUUAUAGAUAUUUUAUAUAUGAGAUGCUCUGUAUUAUGCUUUUGGACAUGGAAAAGGAAAUUGAUUGGGCAUGAUUUUGUGUUUGGUUGCCCAAUAAACCUAUGAGCUUCAUUUAGAAGAGCUUGGUCUGUCAAAAUCAUAUGCAAGGAAGGCAGAAGAAAACUGUGAUGUGAAAAUUUCGGAAAGAAAACUGAUAAAGAAGUACAACAAACUUGUACCUUGGCGUUUGCCCGAAAAUCUUGCAGUUUUCUUAAUCGCCUGCUUCAUUCUUCUCAAGUUCAUCACAGGCUGCUGGAAAGCUCAAAUCAUGCUUUGAAAAGAGGUGGAGACAAAAACCAGACUAGAAAAUGUCACUGUAUGCCCCAUCAGAGAUCUAGCAAUAGUGCACAAGAACAAGGAUUUGUCGUUUUGCUCCAAAACAAAUGUCUCUGUUUAUUUCCCUGUCAACUGAAGAACAAAUGAAUUCUCCUCCUGUCAACUGAUGAAACAUUUUGGCUACAUGCUCUUGUGUUCAGCAAGCCUGAACUAGUGGAAGUUAUGAUCAAAGAAUAUUUGGUCAACUUGAUCA